UGGGGAAUCUUGGACAAUGGGGGCAACCCUGAUCCAGCCAUGCCGCGUGAGUGAUGAAGGCCUUAGGGUCGUAAAGCUCUUUCGCCUGUGAAGAUAAUGACGGUAGCAGGUAAAGAAACCCCGGCUAACUCCGUGCCAGCAGCCGCGGUAAUACGGAGGGGGUUAGCGUUGUUCGGAAUUACUGGGCGUAAAGCGCACGUAGGCGGACCAGAAAGUUGGGGGUGAAAUCCCGGGGGCUCAACCCCGGAACUGCCUCCAAAACUAUUGGUCUAGAGUUCGAGAGAGGUGAGUGGAAUUCCAAGUGUAGAGGUGAAAUUCGUAGAUAUUUGGAGGAACACCAGUGGCGAAGGCGGCUCACUGGCUCGAUACUGACGCUGAGGUGCGAAAGUGUGGGGAGCAAACAGGAUUAGAUACCCUGGUAGUCCACACCGUAAAACGAUGAAUGCCAGUCGUCGGGUAGCAUGCUAUUCGGUGACACACCUAACGGAUUAAGCAUUCCGGCCUGGGGAGUACGGUCGCAAGAUUAAAACUCAAAUGAAUUGAUGG
RNAcentral lists this ribosomal RNA (546 nucleotides) under uncultured bacterium. Its description in RNAcentral is "bacterial SSU rRNA". It matches the Rfam family "Bacterial small subunit ribosomal RNA", at positions 355 to 916 of the family's 1533-position model. The record is from RNAcentral.